CCUACGUGAGGCAGCAGUGAGGAAUAUUGGUCAAUGGGCGGAAGCCUGAACCAGCCAAGUAGCGUGCAGGAUGACGGCCCUACGGGUUGUAAACUGCUUUUAUACGGGAAUAACGCGCCUUACGUGUAGGGCUUUGCAUGUACCGUAUGAAUAAGGACCGGCUAAUUCCGUGCCAGCAGCCGCGGUAAUACGGAAGGUCCGGGCGUUAUCCGGUUUUAUUGUGUUUAAAGGGAGCGUAGGCCGCAUGUCAAGCGUGCUGUGAAAUGUUCGGGCUCAACCCGGGCCUUGCAGCGCGAACUGGCGUGCUUGAGUCCGCGGAAAGCAGGCGGAAUUCGUCGUGUAGCGGUGAAAUGCUUAGAUAUGACGAAGAACCCCGAUUGCGAAGGCAGCUUGCUGCAGCGGAACUGACGCUGAUGCUCGAAAGCGCGGGGAUCGAACAGGAUUAGAUACCCGAGUAGUC
RNAcentral lists this ribosomal RNA (460 nucleotides) under uncultured bacterium. RNAcentral's name for it is "partial 16S ribosomal RNA". It matches the Rfam family "Bacterial small subunit ribosomal RNA", at positions 338 to 795 of the family's 1533-position model. The record is from RNAcentral.